AAUAUUGGACAAUGGGCGAAAGCCUGAUCCAGCCAUGCCGCGUGUGUGAGGAAGGCCUUCGGAUUGUAAAGCACCUUAAGUUGGGAGGAAGUGCUGUAAGUUAAUACCUUGCUGCUUUGACGUUACCGACAGCAUAAGCCCCGGCUAACUUCGUGCCAGCAGCCGCGGUAAUAGCAAGGGUGCAAGCGUUAAUCGGAAUUACUGGGGGUAAAGCGGGCGUAGGUGGUUCAGUAAGAUGGGUGUGAAAUCCCCGGGCUUAACCUGGGAACUGCUUUCAUAACUGCUGAGCUAGAGCACGGUAGAGGGUGGUGGAAUUUCCUGUGUAGCGGUGAAAUGCGUAGAUAUAGGAAGGAACAUCAGUGGCGAAGGCGACCACCUGGGCUAAUACUGACACUGGGGUGCGAAAGCGUGGGGAGCAAAC
This 421-nucleotide ribosomal RNA is filed under the name uncultured bacterium. RNAcentral describes it as "partial 16S ribosomal RNA". It matches the Rfam family "Bacterial small subunit ribosomal RNA", at positions 360 to 773 of the family's 1533-position model. The record is from RNAcentral.